This 487-nucleotide long non-coding RNA is filed under the name Olea europaea subsp. europaea. The record is from RNAcentral. Lineage: Eukaryota; Viridiplantae; Streptophyta; Magnoliopsida; Lamiales; Oleaceae.
CUUCCUCAUCUAUUGAUAAAAAUUAAAAAUCCACUAUUAAGAUUUUCUUAAUUGGUCAAGAAACAUAACCUUGAACUUGCUAAAAUGGAUUGGCUUGAGGCAAAAAUAUGCAGUUGGAAUGCAAGACAAUAUAUUACUUCUAGAAACUACUACCUCCACUGUUGGGGACAGGGGAAGGUGGGGAAAUGCCAAGACCAUCAUCAUCAAUAAAGUCGCCCUCCUCAUCUUCAUCUUCAGAAUCAUAAUUCAUAAAAUCAUCCUCAUCUUCUAAGUCAGUCCCCACGAUAUUCUCUUCAUAAGAAUCACUUAAAUCAUAGUUAAAGAAAUAAAGAAAAACAACUAAAAACAUACUAAAAUACACACUUUCAUUUUUUAUCCAUUUAAAAAAUGUUAAUAUAUAAAGAAGUGUAAAUUAUAUACUAAUGAAUAUAAGAAGUAUUAGUUAAUCAGCAGAAAAAGAAGGAUACCACCCAGAAUCAUCUCCAAG